Long non-coding RNA from Gallus gallus (chicken), 1336 nucleotides. Lineage: Eukaryota; Metazoa; Chordata; Aves; Galliformes; Phasianidae. The record is from Ensembl.
UGACUCAUGUUGCUUCAGAAGAGGUUCAGGCUGUAUAUUAAGAAAAAAUUAUUCUCGUAUAGAAUAGUGAGGCAUUGGAACAGGCUGCCCAGGGAGGCGGUGGAGUCACUGUUCCUGGAGGUGUUCAAAAAACGUGUAGAUGCAGCACUGAGGGAAAUGGUUUAGUGGGUACGACGAUGAUGUGUUGAUGGUUGGACUAGCUGAGCUUAGUGAUCUUUCUCAGCCUUAAUGACUCUAUGAUUCCACGAAAUCUGUUCAAGAAGUGCUGAUGAAGGAAGCUGGAACUUUAUGAUCGUGUAUGAGACUCCUUUGCCUAGAGGAGAUAUGGAGUGAUGGAGAGUGCAGGGAUAAAUGGUGCUUAUCCAUCUCUGGUCUCAGUGUUUAGCCCCAGAGGGGACAGAGUUUGUAUCAAGAAUGACAAACUGGCUGCUUUCCAAGCCUUGAGGUGCUUUGUAGCCAUAAUACACUAUGCUCUGCUAGUUGUUAGUGAAUAUUUGUUCUGCACUGUUCAGUAAGGCUCUGUUUACCAGUGUCCAAACAGCAUCUUUAUUAUCCUUUUGCGAUGACAGAGUACGAAACCUGCAAGGACAAUUUACUUUGUUUUUGCAGAGGUAUUUAUAUUGAAUUUGAUUAGAAGAUUGGAGAACACUGCUCAAUUCUGUUAAACAGAUGCAGUUAGUAGUCCAAAUUCUGAAGAAUACUCUUCCUGAAGUUUGACAUCUGUCUACCCUUGACUGUCCCCUGACAUGCUGGAUGAAAAGAACAGUCAUUUGUCCUACGGAUAAUUAUUUCCUCAAGAUGCCCUAGGAGGUAUGACUUCUGGAGAUGAAAUUCUAUACCCAUAUUGACUGUAGGGAAUAUUUUAGUAUCUGCAGUCUUUCCGUCAUAUAGGAACAAUAAGUUUUGUCACUACUUUCAGAGGUACUGGCAUGACUACACCAAAGUACUGGAACUCAUACUUCCAAGGAGCAUAUUCACAGUGUAAUACAUGCUAUCUACAGCAUUAAAAUGCAUUAUAGCUUAUGUGUUCAAAACUUCACUUUAUUGCCAUAUUUUUCACUUAUAGAAAAAAAAAAAAAAAAAAAAAAGACAAUUAUGCUGUAUGGUCACCAAGCCAGGCAAUGUUGGAACUAGGCAUACUCAAGCUGAUGCAUCAUCUUGGACAUCUACAAUAAGACUAGAUGUUUACUACAGAAUAAGAUAACUACUACUUAUUAUGUCUGAAAUUCUAUUGUUUCCUUGUCAUGAGAUCAAUUUGUGAAACUUAAUGCAUUAAUUACAGUUAUACAUUCUUAGAAAAGUGCAUGUUAUUUUGCUUGUACAGUUCCAUUUCCAA